GGGCCCGCACAAGCGGUGGAGUAUGUGGUUUAAUUCGAAGCAACGCGCAGAACCUUACCAGCCCUUGACAUGUUAGGUUUGAUUACCAGAGAUGGUUUUCUUCAGUUCGGCUGGCCUAAACACAGGUGCUGCAUGGCUGUCGUCAGCUCGUGUCGUGAGAUGUUGGGUUAAGUCCCGCAACGAGCGCAACCCUCAUCUUCUGUUGCCAGCGGUUCGGCCGGGCACUCUGAAGAAACUGCCUGCGAUGAGCAGGAGGAAGGCGGGGAUGACGUCAAGUCCUCAUGGCCCUUAUGGGCUGGGCUACACACGUACUACAAUGGUAGAGACAGAGGCAGCCCACCUGGUGACAGGGAG
This 354-nucleotide ribosomal RNA is filed under the name uncultured bacterium. RNAcentral describes it as "bacterial SSU rRNA". It matches the Rfam family "Bacterial small subunit ribosomal RNA", at positions 917 to 1267 of the family's 1533-position model. The record is from RNAcentral.